RNAcentral lists this ribosomal RNA (498 nucleotides) under uncultured bacterium. RNAcentral describes it as "partial 16S ribosomal RNA". It matches the Rfam family "Bacterial small subunit ribosomal RNA", at positions 30 to 523 of the family's 1533-position model. The record is from RNAcentral.
AUUGAACGCUGGCGGCAUGCCUUACACAUGCAAGUCGAACGGUAACAGGUCUUCGGAUGCUGACGAGUGGCGAGCGGGUGAGUAAUACAUCGGAACGUGCCUAGUAGUGGGGGAUAACUACUCGAAAGAGUGGCUAAUACCGCAUGAGAUCUACGGAGGAAAGCAGGGGAUCGCAAGACCUUGUGCUACUAGAGCGGCCGAUGACAGAUUAGGUAGUUGGUGGGAUAAAAGCUUACCAAGCCGACGAUCUGUAGCUGGUCUGAGAGGACGAUCAGCCACACUGGAACGUAGACACGGCCCAGACUCCUGCGGGAGGCAGCAGGGGGGAAUUUUGGACAAUGGGCGAACGCCUGAUCAAGCAAUGCCGCGUGCAGGAUGAAGGCCUUCGGGUUGUAAACUGCUUUUGUCCGGAACGAAAAGCCCCGGGUUAAUACCCUGGGGUCAUGACGGUACCGUAAGAAUAAGCACCGGCUAACUACGUGCCAGCAGCCGCCGUAA